AGGAUGAUCCUAGACGACGUUGGCUUCGCCGCGACGGUGCUGACCUCUUCGAGCGGAUCGACGCGCGCCGAUUGGACGCCUGCUCUCCGCUAAUUGGCGUGUACGGUUGUGCGGUGGAACAAGAAUCUCUCUAGGGACCUUUGAUAAUCAGAGGUAUUAGCUGGAGGAUUUUAGAAUCCGUGUGUAAAGGAUGGCUUGUGGGGAAGCGGCGUAGUAUUAUCGAAGCGGAUAAUGAGCUCUGAAGAAUAUGUGGAAAGAGAGGAAGAAUCCGUGACCAGUCUUGGGUUUCAAGCAGUAUUCGAGAUUAAGGAAUAACGGAUCAAUUCCGGCAAUUCAUAUUUCCGGUUGUGAUGGAGCGAUGGAAUGGAGAAAGAAGAUUUGUCUUCGUCGAUGAUAUUUGAUUUCCAUGUUUCACAAAGAAUAUCCUCUUUAAAAGCAUUUCAACAACGAUUCCUCGGAAAUGUUAAUUUAUACAUCAUCGAUGAAACAUUCCUUCACUAAUCAAUUUAAUACUUUUUCCCAAACGUCGUUAAAGUAAUUAAAUGGAAUCAAAAAUCAAUAAAACAUAGGCAAAAGAAAUAUGUGAAUUGAAGUUCAAAAUUGUGGACGUAAAUCGGUGAAUUACUUCGAACGAUUACUACCAUCGUUUAUUAUAGCUGACGUAAUUCAUGGGCUAUGUUUCACUUGCGACAACAACAAUAACAACAACAACAACACGAGUUAGAGGCCUUCAUACGCCUCUUACCAGCAUGUUUAAGAUUUUUUAUUAUCAUUGGAUGAUCGGUCGAGCUUAGAUGCUAAUUUGUUUAAAUUUGCAUCUUUGUCAUCAUGGACAUAAUAAACUGAAGAAAUAUUGAACUUGAUUGUUAAAGAAGAUUCGAGAAGGAACAUUUAUUGCGCGGAAGGAAAUGUACAGUGAUCUAAAUCAAUGGAAGCCGGCUAAUCCUUAUUUUCUAAAUCUGUGAAACAGCGGAGAAUUCCAUUGAAAUCUCUUCGACCAUCAUCGAUCAAGCGUAAUUGGGAAAAAACGAAGCGGAGAACGUUGGAGGAAGCAAGGGAUCGAUUAGUCUGUGAUUGAGUUACAGGAAGGCGGUCGUUUAUUGGCAUAAUCGAUACCUUACUGGGUCUAAUAAAUACAUCCUUGGGAAACCUCGAGCUCGGUAUAUUCUCUCGACAAGGUUUUUUCUUUUCUUUCUCUUUCGCGAAAUCCGUGAUUCGAAGAGGAAAAAUCGUGUUAACACCAACGUUGGAUUAUCCUCAUUUCGAGGCAUAAUUCAAAGGUUGUCAUCUUGAACGUGGUCUCGUAUCGACAACAUUUAUGUAUCGAUUUUGUAGCGAUAUCGAUUAUCAUCGAUUAUUUAAAAAUAACGAAAGGAGAAGGAAAGGACUUAAAAAUUAUGAGAAGGAAUAAGUUGUAUAUAUCGAGAAAGAAAAAAAACAGAAAGAAAGGAGAAAAUAAUAAUAAAUAAAAGACGACGAUUAAAAGUUGUGCGGUGUCGAUAUUUCGUUAUCAAUCGCAAAAGAAAAGAAUAGUGGCAAUAGAUUAUCAGUGAAUAACCAUCUCAUUGCCACCGUAUACGCGGCGCAGAAACGACGCAUGAUCGUCGGCUGAUCGGCAAAACAUUCACGCCGACAAUCUCGCCGCUGUCGAGGCAUGCAGAGGAAUGUUGAUGCUGUGCUGUCAUCGAUAAGUGGACACGCAUUUAUAUUUAAACUACAUGUAAUAAUAUGAAUACGUCGAUGUUGGUCUGACGUCGUUCAUAUGCUAUUAACCUUUUUGCCACUGGACGCGUAUGUACAUACAUACAUAUGUAUAGCUGCAUGUAUACCUCGUUAAACAUCGACUAACCAUUUGCUAAAAAACGUGCAAAUAUUUUCCAUAAAAUAAUUUUUAUUUUAACGCACGAAUUAUAAAAUAAUUAACAUUGGAAUAAACAGAUUGGCUUUGGACUAUUGAUUGUUGAAAAAAAAAAAAAGAAAUUUAUAUAUAUGCAUAAUAAUUUAUUUUUACAUGUACAGAAUUAUACAUAUCUAAUUAUUUGUACAAUUCUAAUUUUUAAUCCCAAUCCAAUUACAACGUUAAUUAUACAAAAUA
Long non-coding RNA from Apis cerana (Asiatic honeybee), 2095 nucleotides. RefSeq lists it as uncharacterized. The record is from RefSeq and is a predicted model, not a curated record. NCBI's taxonomy places the organism in Eukaryota, Metazoa, Arthropoda, Insecta, Hymenoptera, Apidae.